This 468-nucleotide ribosomal RNA is filed under the name uncultured bacterium. RNAcentral describes it as "partial 16S ribosomal RNA". It matches the Rfam family "Bacterial small subunit ribosomal RNA", at positions 28 to 507 of the family's 1533-position model. The record is from RNAcentral.
GACGAACGCUGGCGGCGUGCUUAACACAUGCAAGUCGAACGGAAAGGCCCUGCUUUUGUGUGUUUCUCGAGUGGCGAACGGGUGAGUAACACGUGAGUAACCUGCCCUUGACUUUGGGAUAACUUCAGGAAACUGGGGCUAAUACCGGAUAGGAUCUCCUGCUGCAUGUUGUGGGUUGGAAAGUUUCGGCGGUUGGGGAUGGACUCGCGGCUUAUCAGCUUGUUGGUGGGGUAGUGGCUUACCAAGGCUUUGACGGGUAGCCGGCCUGAGAGGGUGACCGGCCACAUUGGGACUGAGAGACGGCCCAGAAUGCUACGGGAGGCAGCAGGGGGGAAUAUGGCACAAUGGGCGGAAGCCUGAUGCAGCAACGCCGCGUGCGGGAUGACGGCCUUCGGGUUGUAAACAGAUUUCGCCUGUGACGAAGCGUGAGUGACGGUAAUGGGUAAAGAAGCACCGGCUAACUACGUG